Molecule: long non-coding RNA, 2451 nt
Organism: Meriones unguiculatus (Mongolian gerbil)
Lineage: Eukaryota; Metazoa; Chordata; Mammalia; Rodentia; Muridae
Exons: 4
Source: RefSeq, a predicted model, not a curated record
UAGCAUGAGUCAGCAGCCCCGUGUCUGUUCACCCCAGAGCCUCUGCCAAGACCAAGUUCCUGAUGCUGCAAAGUCGAGGGCUUGACCUGGGGACCCCAGUGAAUCGAUCAGACAAAUGUGCCCCCUUCGGGCCUCAGGAACCAGGCAGCUAGCCUCUCCAAGAGAAGGGCGAUGAAAAGGAGCCUGCUUCCCAGGAAAACACACUGUGGAAGAUCUUUUACACCUGCUGUUGGGAGCAUCAACUACGGAGGAUGAUUGACCUCAAAUUCAUUUCUGAGGAAGGAUGAAGUGUUUGGGCAUUCCCGUAACCAGGACCUCAAAUUCAUUUCUGAGGAAGGAUAAAGUGUUUGGGCAUUCCCGUAACCAAUGACAUGUUUCUUGGUGAACAGGUGCGGAACAGAAAGAGGCAGGACGCCACUUAAGCACUUGGUGGGAAGCUUCUCUCUGAAAUGCGCUAACAGGAAGAAAAAGUAGGGAAAGCUCACUCAAAGAGAUCCUCAAACAUACGCUGGCCCAUGGCUAUGUAUGCUUCCUUCUCUUCUGGUGUCAUCUGGGCUACCAGCUCUGGCCGCUGGUUAACUUCACUGUAGGAGAAUGGGCAGCCAGCCACCAUAACAAUGGGGUCGUCUGUUACUUCUUCAAACUCCUCCUCUUCCUCAUCCUCCUCCUGAUGAUGAGAAGCCACAGCUGCUGGCCGGGGUGGAGAGUCAUCAUCCGACUCACUGGUCUCACUCUCCGAGUCACUGCCAUUGGCAGCAGUCACGGGAGCAGCCGCUCCCACUGAGGCAGCCGUCGUGGAAGAAGUCUUUUUCUCGUGAAUAAGCAGAGCUCGCAUGACCUCCUCAUUGUCAUCAGGCCCUGAACGUGCUUCAUCACGCUCCUGAAAUGCACCCAUAUCAAUGCCACCUGGAAGUUAAAACCCAGAAAGUCAAGAUCCUUAAACACAAAGGGCAUCCAUUUGUAACUAAUAGAAAAAGACUUCAUUGUGUUACGUUUAAACAGAUAAAUAACACAAAGAGAUGCCACCGCUUCCAUUUUCUGAGCUGCUGCUCUCCAAAAUAGCCAAGUGUUUCUUAACAACUAGAGCCUGAGUAUCACAAUGAGCAAACUAAUAAGUACAUGGAAUUUACAGGUUUAUAGACGCUUACAUGGCUGAGAAUUCUCCCCCUCCCCAUGCAAGCCGUACUAUUUGGAGCAGAUGUUUUCAUUUCUAAACUUUAGGAGGUGACAAACGGCACACCUUCUCAGAGUCUGGGCGUGAACCUGUGAGAUGACAGCAAGACAGGACCAAGUACAGCUGGCAUGACUGGGAACGAACGAAGGCGUGGUUCUUCGCCAUGCUCAGAGUAAAGGCCAGAGGCCUUGCAAUGCCUAUAAGGUGCCGCCUCAUCUACACUCCUGGCCACCUACCUCUUCCCCACUCACUCUGUGACAGCCACAGCUGGUAUCCCUUGUACAGAGAAGACACAUACUCCCUCGGGUUCAUUAAAAAAAGAUUUGACUGCUUCAAGAACAGUGAAGAAGACAAUUGGGGAAAAUAAAUCUAUUAAAUAAGACAGCCUAACUACUACAUAACCUACAACAACUCCAAUCAAAAUAACUAAACACUGCAGGUUAAUCAGUAAAGAGGAAGGAAAGUAUGGUUGUCACGAAGUAUUUUCCUGACUGGAACAGGACUCUCAAAGGAAAUCAAUUAUACAAGAGGUAUUUUCUGCAGCCCCAAUAUCUACACUUCACUACUGCUGGUUUAUACUGUAUGCUAAACACAAAUCUUAAGAAAGAAGGUAGGGGAAGGUUAGAACACAAGUGCCCUCCAGUAACCGAUGAUGCUCAGCACUGAAGAGCCCAUCCCUGUGACAAGCUGGUAACAACCCCUAGCCCAGACACAGAGACUGCAUCCCAUCCCCGCUGCUUUCCAGUCCCUUAGCAGUCUUUGUUGUACAGUUUCAGCUAUUGUUUUCUAUACUGUCACCCAACGUUGAAUCCAGUACCCACGCUAGAACUUACAAAGUAAAACCUUGCACUUCUUAACCUGGCAAAAGUUAUUACCCAAUUGCUAAUCCUUUCAGGUUCAGAGACUUACAAAAUUGUCUUCUCGGACAUAGGGGCGUUCAGUCCUUCAUCAUGUGCUAUUUUUGUAUAAUCUGUGACGCUAGUUCUGGAGAAUUUGACAUCCUCUCUGACCUCCUUGGACACCAGCUGUGCAUGUAGCGCAUACACAUAUGUACAGGCAAGCACUAAUACACAUCAAAAUAAAUAUAUCUUUUAAAAGCAGAGAUUUAAAAACCUAUUGCUGUUUUGACUAAGCUGGAAGACAACAGAACAUGUUGGUUGGUUUUAAUGCUUACUGCUCAGUUUCAAGCAAUACAUUUCCAAUAAAACCAAGAAUUACCCAGGCAUUCACCAAAUCCAUGACAUAUUAAUCUCACUGACUUCUCACUCUUACCUUCC